Non-coding RNA from Manis javanica (Malayan pangolin), 7069 nucleotides. Lineage: Eukaryota; Metazoa; Chordata; Mammalia; Pholidota; Manidae. The record is from RefSeq and is a predicted model, not a curated record.
AGAGCACCUACAACGACUGGUGGCGCAGGGGGUGUCGGGUGUCAGCGGCCGCACUUUGCGGCCGGUCGUGCGGGUCGGGCGCGGGCGGGCGGGCGCGGCGGCAGAGGCGCGCACAGGUGAUUGACUGGCCAGCUGGCUGAAGGAGCUCCUGGUCCUCAUUGCUGGCAGGUGGCGGAUCUUAUUUGGGCAGCGGCGGAGGCGCCGGUGGUGGCAGUGGCGGCCCUGCUCGUAAGGUGCUCCUGGGGCCAACGCUAUGGCCCCGCGGCUGCAGCUAGAGAAGGCGGCCUGGCGCUGGGCGGAGACGGUGCGACCAGAGGAGGUGUCGCAGGAACACAUCGAGACCGCCUACCGCAUCUGGCUGGAGCCCUGCAUCCGCGGCGUGUGCAGACGAAACUGCAAAGGAAAUCCAAAUUGCUUGGUUGGGAUUGGUGAGCAUAUUUGGUUAGGAGAAAUAGAUGAAAAUAGUUUUCAUAACAUUGAUGAUCCCAACUGUGAGAGGAGAAAAAAGAACUCAUUUGUGGGCCUCACUAACCUUGGAGCCACUUGUUAUGUCAACACGUUUCUCCAAGUGUGGUUUCUCAACCUGGAGCUUCGGCAGGCCCUGUACUUAUGUCCAAGUACCUGUAACGACUACAUGAUGGGAGAUAAUAUCCAGAAAGAGAAAGAUUAUGAGCCUCAAACAAUUUGUGAGCAUCUCCAGUAUUUGUUUGCCUUGUUGCAAAACAGUAAUAGGCGAUACAUUGAUCCAUCGGGAUUUGUUAAAGCCUUGGGUUUGGACACAGGGCAACAGCAGGAUGCCCAAGAAUUUUCAAAGCUCUUUAUGUCUCUUUUGGAAGAUACUCUGUCUAAACAAAAGAAUCCAGAUGUGCGGAACAUUGUCCAACAGCAGUUCUGUGGGGAAUAUGCUUAUGUAACUGUUUGCAAUCAGUGUGGCAGAGAGUCUAAGCUUUUAUCAAAGUUUUAUGAACUGGAGUUAAAUAUCCAAGGCCACAAACAAUUAACAGAUUGUAUCUCAGAAUUUUUGAAGGAAGAAAAAUUAGAAGGAGACAAUCGAUAUUUCUGUGAAAACUGUCAAAGCAAACAGAAUGCAACAAGGAAGAUCCGACUCCUGAGUCUGCCUUGCACUCUGAACUUGCAGCUAAUGCGUUUUGUCUUUGACAGGCAAACUGGACAUAAGAAAAAGCUGAAUACCUACAUUGGCUUCUCAGAAAUUUUGGAUAUGGAGCCUUAUGUGGAACAUAAAGGUGGGUCCUAUGUGUAUGAACUCAGUGCAGUCCUCAUACACAGAGGAGUGAGUGCUUAUUCUGGCCACUACAUUGCCCAUGUGAAAGAUCCACAGUCCGGUGAAUGGUAUAAGUUUAAUGACGAAGACAUAGAAAAGAUGGAGGGGAAGAAAUUACAACUAGGGAUUGAGGAAGAUCUAGCAGAACCUUCUAAGUCCCAGACACGGAAACCCAAGUGUGGCAAAGGAACGCACUGUUCUCGAAAUGCAUACAUGUUGGUUUAUAGACUACAGACUCAAGAAAAACCCAGCACAACUGUUCAGGUACCAGCUUUUCUUCAAGAGCUGGUAGAUCGGGAUAAUUCCAAGUUUGAGGAGUGGUGUAUUGAAAUGGCUGAGAUGCGAAAGCAAAGUGUGGAUAAAGGAAAAGCAAAGCACGAAGAGGUUAAGGAGCUGUACCAAAGGUUACCUGCUGGAGCUGAGCCCUAUGAAUUUGUCUCUCUUGAGUGGCUGCAGAAGUGGUUGGAUGAGUCAACACCCACCAAGCCUAUCGAUAAUCACGCUUGCCUGUGUUCCCAUGACAAGCUUCAUCCUGAUAAGAUACCAAUUAUGAAGAGGAUAUCUGAGUAUGCGGCUGACAUUUUCUAUAGUAGAUAUGGAGGAGGACCAAGACUAACUGUGAAAGCCCUGUGUAAGGAAUGUGUAGUAGAACGUUGUCGUGUAUUACGUCUGAAGAACCAACUAAAUGAAGAUUAUAAAACUGUUAAUAAUCUGCUGAAAGCAACAGUAAAGGGCAGUGACGGAUUCUGGGUGGGAAAAUCCUCCUUGCGCAGUUGGCGCCAGCUUGCUCUUGAACAGUUAGAUGAGCAGGAUGGUGACGCAGACCAAAGCAAUGGAAAAAUGAACGGCAGCACGUUGAAUAAAGAUGAAUCAAAGGAAGAAAGAAAAGAAGAGGAGGAGGAAUUAAAUUUUAAUGAAGAUAUUCUGUGUCCACAUGGAGAGUUAUGCAUAUCUGAGAAUGAAAGAAGGCUUGUUUCUAAAGAGGCUUGGAGCAAACUGCAACAGUACUUUCCAAAGGCUCCUGAAUUUCCAAGUUACAGAGAAUGCUGCUCACAGUGCAAGAUCUUAGAGAGAGAAGGGGAAGAAAAUGAAGCCUUACAUAAGAUGAUCGCAAAUGAGCAGAAGACGUCUCUGCCGAAUUUGUUCCAGGACAAAAACAGACCGUGUCUCAGUAACUGGCCAGAGGAUACGGAUGUCCUCUACAUUGUGUCACAGUUCUUUGUAGAAGAAUGGCGGAAAUUUGUUAGAAAACCUGCAAGAUGUAGUCCUGUGUCGUCGGUUGGAAACGGUGCUCUUCUGUGUCCCCAUGGGGGACUCAUGUUUACAUUUGCUUCCAUGACCAAAGAAGAUUCUAAACUUAUAGCUCUCAUAUGGCCCAGUGAGUGGCAAAUGAUACAAAAACUCUUUGUUGUGGAUCAUGUAAUUAAAAUCACGAGAACUGAAGUGGAAGAUGUAAGCCCUUCAGAAACACAAUAUAUUUCUGAGCCUAAACUCUGUCCGGAAUGCAGAGAAGGCUUACUGUGUCAACAGCAGAGGGACCUGCGUGAAUAUACUCAAGCCACCAUCUAUGUCCAUAAAGUUGUGGAUAAUAAAAAGGUGAUGAAGGAUUCGGCUCCAGAGCUGAAUGUGAGUAGCUCUGAAACAGAGGAGGAUAAGGAAGAAGCUAAACUGGAUGGAGAAAAAGAUCCAGAUUUUAAUCAAAGCAAUGGAGGAACAAAGCGGCAAAAGAUAUCUCACCAAAAUUAUAUAGCCUAUCAAAAGCAAGUUAUUCGGCGGAGUAUGCGACAUAGAAAAGUUCGUGGUGAGAAAGCACUUCUUGUUUCUGCUAAUCAAACAUUAAAAGAAUUGAAAAUUCAGAUCAUGCAUGCGUUUUCAGUUGCUCCUUUUGACCAGAAUCUGUCAAUUGAUGGAAAGAUUUUAAGCGAUGACUGUGCCACCCUCGGCACCCUUGGAGUCAUUCCUGAAUCUGUCAUUUUGUUAAAGGCUGAUGAACCAAUUGCAGAUUAUGCUGCAAUGGAUGAUGUCAUGCAAGUGUGUAUGCCAGAAGAAGGGUUUAAAGCAUGAAAGUGAAGAACUUGCCAUACUUGUGGAAAAGUGUCUUCAGAGAGUCCUCUCCGUGUCGGCCACAGUAUACCCACCUUACAUACAGCCCUGUGGGCUCUCUUUGUAUUGGGUAAGGGAGAGGGCAUCUGCGUGUCUCUGCAAGGAGCAAGGGAUUGUGUCUCAGUUUCGGCUUCAAAGGCUCUUUGCUUCCGUGCGUUUCAGAAAGGAUGGCGAAUGUUUAUUAUAUGGGAUAGCAUCUUGCUUCAGUUUUGCUCUUCAAAAGAGGGAAAUCACAUAUACCUUGCACUUCUGAAAAUUCUGACUACCUUAUCAGAAGUUAAAGUGGACUGAAAUGCAUUUGGAUAAUAAAAGAUUUUUAUAAAAUUUAUUCUUCCCAUCCUUUUAAGUCUACCAUUCUUGGAUCACGCCUCUCAUUUUGAAAGCAUUCUUCCAAACUACUCAGAAAUGAUCUCUUAGAUCACUUUGUUUAAAAAAAAACAAAAAAAAGUGUAUGGAUCAGGUGUGCCAUUAUAUCCAGUUCUGGAUUGUUGUUAUUAGCAACACAUGCCGGAAGCAAUAUUCUUAAGAAUGUUGAAGGAUUUUUUAAAGGAAUUUAAGACUGGAGUUUAUUUCUAACUAUUUCUGCUGUUGGAUAUGUGUGUACAUGUUUGGGGCAGAGAUGCUGAGUCAGGCGUCUCUUUUGCUAACACCUUUUUUAGCCUUGGUUUCUAGGCUCCCCUCACUUGUGAAAAUUUAAACUUAAAUAAUGGAUGGGGGUGGGGCCAGGUUUCAUGUUCAGGACCAGUAACCUUGGCGGCAUCCCUUUUGAAUAGCUCUUUUUUAUCAGAAUAAUCGCAGCUGUUUGGUAAAAUUAUAACUUAUUUGCAUUUCCCCUGUGUGUGUGUGUGCAGUGUCCUCAGCCCCUGAGGAGGUUGGGAAGGGUUGUUUAAUGAACCUGUGUGGGAGAGAGAUCAGCACGCAGGACCCUCAACCAUCCUAGGAACCAGCAGCUGCUGCCUUGAGGUUGGCACAGGGGAAGGACUCAAAGUUGAGAUCAUGGACAGCUAAAAUCCUGAUUUUUAGAUCUCAGUCUUUUAUUUUACUCCAAGGAAAUGAGACUGGAGCAUGAAAGUAGUAACACGCUAGGCAGCUUGUUUAUUCCCAGGGUAAAGGCUUGUGUACAGGUUCACAUAGCGCCUGAUGUAGCCAUUUGCUUUUCACUACAAUAAAGAAGCUAUGUGGCUAAAGGAAGUUCUUUUCAGGGAAUCUGCUCUGUUUCGCCAGUUAGCUGUCAGUCACAGUUUUAAAAUUUGGAAUGGUACAAAACAGCCAUUUUUAUAAGUCCUUCAGGCUGGUAACCCAGUUUCAGUCCUGGCUCCUUUAAUAACUCUGCCCCGGAGUGGGAGUGGGUUGGGCCCAGCAUCCUCAGCAGGUGAUGCUCCUAGGAGUCUGUCUUCAGCCCAGCAGUUAUUUUCUUCCUGCCCUGACAACUUCCCUGGUUCUGCCAGUGCUACUCAAAAUGUCAUCUGUGGCCCCCAAGCACCAGGAGAGGUGUGAAGCUUUAUUAGAAGUGCAAGCUCAGGCCUCGGACUCAAUGAAUUGGAAUCUACAUCCACAAGCUGUUCUUCUCCUCUUAGAAGUUGAGGAGCCUUGGGCUGGGACCUGCUUCUCACUGACAGUAAGCACUUACGAAGAAGUAUAUACAUGUAUUAGUGGCUUUGCACUGCCACCUCCAGUGCUUUGUACAGGGGUAUCAGGUACAAGGUGUUAAUAACCUAAAACUGAAUUCUUUGUAUUUGCAAAUAGAGACCAUUGUUUCCUGGGCUGUGACUGCAUUGAAGGGCAGACUCCGGGGUUUUUUUUAUGUCACACCAGUGUACUUCUUUUUAUAUUAGAUCAGUCUCCUGGUAUUAUGAAGCUUAAGGUUUUCCCUCCUAUUUCUGACCAUUCCUUAAUCCCAAACUAAUGUAUACAACAUACCAUGCUGGUAUACACUUUGUUGCAAUUACCUGAAAUACAGGUUGCCAAUUAGAUGUCCUCAUUCCCUGGGGGAAUAAGUAUCUUUCUGUGCAUUAGUGAACUUUGUCAUUUAAAAUUACUGUUACCUUUCUGCAAAAUUAAAAAGAAAUGAGUGUCCUUUUAUUUCCAUGGAAUCAUCAUCAGAGUGAAUUUUUGUGUCACUUUAAAUGUUCAGUUGGUUGAUCUGUGUGGUCAUGGACUUGGUCAGACCCUGGUUAAUAUUUAAAACUAAUGCUGGGAUUGAAUAACCCAGUUUAUAUAGGCAAAGGAUGAUUUAUCUCUGUCUAAACAAACCACAGAAGUGAAAUGAGCAUUAAAGCCUGUCUUUCCCAUUACAGAAUCAGCGAGGAGUAUCACAUCCUUUCUCUUCGGCAUCUUGAUGUUAGUUAGUUGGUGUUAUAGGCGACUGUGCACAGAGUUCAGUCCAGUGAAAGAAACAGCAUUUUCAUAGAAAGAUUCUCACCCCUUUGCCAGUACCCUGUGCACACCCGCACCAUGAGGUGCAGGGCUUUGUCACCAGUUGAAUUUCUGAUUACGAAAGCUAGCAGUUCACCAUCCCCAAACCCCAGACAUUGUGUGGACACCGAUACCAUCUGAGGAUUUGCUUGCCAACAAGGGGCUCCUUUUUUCAUUAAAAUUUAUAUGAACAUGUGAUGUGGUAACACCUUGACUGACAUGUUUCACUGAGCAACAGCAUUGUGCCAAGUCCUCUUGAGCUGGGGAAGGUCUACUAGGGAGAUAGAAAACCUUUCCAACCCACACAUCCCAAACCCUUGUUUUUUUUUUAAAUGGCUGUUGAGUGAGUUGAGCUAAGGAGUUUUGCUGGUUGUUCAGAUAGCACAUGGCAUGUGCAGGUGAGUGUUGAAAGGGCAGGUUUGGGAAGCUGGCUCACCUGUGUUCCAGGUCAUUUCACCAUCUACCUUAUAACUCAAGAAAAGUCAUUUUGCUUUGUCGUAGUUUCCCUAUCUGAGAGCAGGGCAGUACUUGCUGCCUUUUUUACCCUCCCACACCAAGGCUCAAGCAGUAAUAAGUAGUGUUGGGGUAAAAUGCCCUGUGGUUUAUAAUAGACUGUCUGUGUGAGAAAACGCUGUGGAAUCUUCUUUUCUGCAAGUCUUCACAAAGAGGUAACCACAUAGCCAAGUAACCUGGAACCCCUUCUCUGAGAACUUGAGAGCCUACCUAAUAAUGUUGGAAGCCCUUAGAGCUAAAAUGAUGCCUGGACAAGUGUUCAGUCAUCCUGUUACAUAAAUCUUUCCUCUUGGCAUGUAAGGAAAAUGAAGCUAAUGGCCAAACUAAGCCACCUUGAUUCUGUGUUUAUUUGCAGGGUCAUGAGGAGAGAUAUUUGAAACAUGUUCAGAAUGCGUGUUGAAUAUUUAUGUCUUUGUGAUGGGCAGGUCCUGCCCUAGAGGGGCAGCUUCCAGUGUUUUGAUUGUCACUGCCAAGAACGUCGGGAACAGGUGCUGAGAGCCUUGGAGGCAGAGCCGUGCAGGCACCAGGCAGCAGGGAGCGAUACAGAAGAUUGGCCAGUCAGACUACUUCCUGAUUGGAGAAUCAUGUGUUCCGUUGUUUAUUUACCUCUUGAGAUUUAACAAGUUGGUGAUAUUUUCAGAUGGUAAGAUUUCUGAGCUUCAUGAGAUUUGGGAGAGAAGGAGAUGGCAGAAGGUGUCCCAUGACUCGUCAAAGAGUUCUCUGACCUCUUCUAGUGAGAAUUGGCACCUGCACCAG